This 482-nucleotide ribosomal RNA is filed under the name uncultured bacterium. Its description in RNAcentral is "bacterial SSU rRNA". It matches the Rfam family "Bacterial small subunit ribosomal RNA", at positions 28 to 499 of the family's 1533-position model. The record is from RNAcentral.
GAUGAACGCUAGCUACAGGCUUAACACAUGCAAGUCGAGGGGCAGCAUGGUCUUAGCUUGCUAAGACUGAUGGCGACCGGCGCACGGGUGAGUAACACGUAUCCAACCUGCCGUCUACUCUUGGACAGCCUUCUGAAAGGAAGAUUAAUACAAGAUGGCAUCAUGAGUCCGCAUGUUCACAUGAUUAAAGGUAUUCCGGUAGACGAUGGGGAUGCGUUCCAUUAGAUAGUAGGCGGGGUAACGGCCCACCUAGUCUUCGAUGGAUAGGGGUUCUGAGAGGAAGGUCCCCCACAUUGGAACUGAGACACGGUCCAAACUCCUACGGGAGGCAGCAGUGAGGAAUAUUGGUCAAUGGGCGAGAGCCUGAACCAGCCAAGUAGCGUGAAGGAUGACUGCCCUAUGGGUUGUAAACUUCUUUUAUAAAGGAAUAAAGUCGGGUAUGGAUACCCGUUUGCAUGUACUUUAUGAAUAAGGAUCGGCUA